UAGGGAAUCUUCCACAAUGGACGCAAGUCUGAUGGAGCAACGCCGCGUGAGUGAAGAAGGUUUUCGGAUCGUAAAGCUCUGUUGUUGGUGAAGAAGGAUAGAGGUAGUAACUGGCCUUUAUUUGACGGUAAUCAACCAGAAAGUCACGGCUAACUACGUGCCAGCAGCCGCGGUAAUACGUAGGUGGCAAGCGUUGUCCGGAUUUAUUGGGCGUAAAGCGAGCGCAGGCGGAAGAAUAAGUCUGAUGUGAAAGCCCUCGGCUUAACCGAGGAACUGCAUCGGAAACUGUUUUUCUUGAGUGCAUAAGAGGAGAGUGGAAUUCCAUGUGUAGCGGUGGAAUGCGUAGAUAUAUGGAAGAACACCAGUGGCGAAGGCGACUCUCUGGUCUGCAACUGACGCUGAGGCUAGAAAGCAUGGGUAGCGAACAGG
RNAcentral lists this ribosomal RNA (429 nucleotides) under bacterium. Its description in RNAcentral is "partial 16S ribosomal RNA". It matches the Rfam family "Bacterial small subunit ribosomal RNA", at positions 355 to 776 of the family's 1533-position model. The record is from RNAcentral.